CCAAAACUUCCAUGGUCUUGGCCAAUAUCUCGACCGCUUUUUCCCUGGAAAAAGCUGAUGGAGUCCGGAGGGGGCCUCCAGACACCCGGGGGGUCCCUCACCCUCUGCUGCAAGGCCUCCGGCUUCACCUUCAGCAGCUUCACCAUGGACUGGGUGCGACAGGCCCCCGGGAAGGGGCUCGAGUGGGUCGCAGGUAUUAGCUAUGGUGGUGGUACCACAAGAUACGCGCCGUCGGUCAAGGGGCGCUUCACCAUCUCCAGGGACGACUCCCAGAGCACGCUCACGCUGCAGAUGAACAGCCUCCGGGACGACGACACGGCCACCUACUACUGCGCGAAAAGUUAUGCUGGUGGUGGUGGCACCAACCCCUUCUCCAUGGAACAACAUCCCUGUGCUGUGUCCCCAAAUCAACCCUUCUUGGCCCAAAUCUGGAGCAUUUGCCACAAACCUUGACCACUUUUAUCCCCUCAUCGACCGAUUUUGCCCCAGUCGACCAUUUUUGCCCCAAAUCUCAACCAUUAUCAUGAAACCCUGACAAAUUUCUCACCAGACCUCCAUGGUUUGCCCCAAUCCUUGACCAUUUGCCCCAAUCCUUGACC
Non-coding RNA from Chroicocephalus ridibundus (black-headed gull), 599 nucleotides. NCBI's taxonomy places the organism in Eukaryota, Metazoa, Chordata, Aves, Charadriiformes, Laridae. The record is from the annotation of a RefSeq genome assembly.